CCUACGGGUAGCAGCAGUGAGGAAUAUUGGUCAAUGGACGCAAGUCUGAACCCGCCAUGCCGCGUGCAGGAAGACGGCUCUAUGAGUUGUAAACUGCUUUUGUACGAGGGUAAACGCAGAUACGCGUAUCUGUCUGCAAGUAUCGUACGAAUAAGGAUCGGCUAACUCCGUGCCAGCAGCCGCGGUAAUACGGAGGAUUCAAGCGUUAUCCGGAUUUAUUGGGUUUAAAGGGUGCGUAGGCGGUCGUGUAAGUUAGAGGUGAAAUCCCGAGGCUCAACUUCGGAAUUGCAUCUGGUACUGUUCGGCUAGAGAGUAGUGACGGUAGGCGGAAUGUAUGGUGUGGCGGUGAAAUGCUUAGAUAUCAUACAGAACACCGAUUGCGAAGGCAGCUUACCAAGCUACUUCUGACGUUGAGGCACGAAAGCGUGGGGAGCAAACAGGAUUAGAUACCCGUGUAGUC
Molecule: ribosomal RNA, 460 nt
Filed under: uncultured bacterium
Lineage: Bacteria
Description: partial 16S ribosomal RNA
Rfam family: Bacterial small subunit ribosomal RNA
Source: RNAcentral